RNAcentral lists this non-coding RNA (92 nucleotides) under Oxobacter pfennigii. RNAcentral describes it as "c-di-GMP sequence". It matches the Rfam family "c-di-GMP-I riboswitch aptamer". From Rfam's summary of the family: GEMM was predicted in a large-scale screen for bacterial structured RNA regulatory elements. The record is from Rfam by way of RNAcentral. Lineage: Bacteria; Bacillati; Bacillota; Clostridia; Eubacteriales; Clostridiaceae.
AUCCGAUAAAGGCAAACUUAGGGAAACCUAAGGACGCAAAACUAUAGGGGUUAAAAUCACAUAAAAAGUGAUUAUGCCAGCCAGUUACCGAA